Molecule: long non-coding RNA, 351 nt
Filed under: Gallus gallus (chicken)
Lineage: Eukaryota; Metazoa; Chordata; Aves; Galliformes; Phasianidae
Description: lncRNA (ENSGALG00010000102.1)
Source: RNAcentral
CUUAUAUGGAAUGAGGGGGUGGUGGUGUUAUGACCUUAUAUGGUAUGAGGGCAGCGAACGACCUUAUAUGGAAUGAGGGGGGGUGUUAUGACCUUAUAUGGAAUGAGGGAGGUCGUGUUAUGACCAUAUAUGGGCAUAAAGAGAGGGUCAUGGCCUCAUAUGGAACGAGGGGACCCCCGCGCCUUCUAUGUGAUCAGCAGCUGGGAGCAGGGAGCGCAGAUCUAUGAGUUGGGGGCCGCCUCCAUCGCUGAGCGCAAAGCGUGGUGCCAUGCUCUGAGCCACGCUGCGGGAGCGCUGCGACCCCCCCUGGGCACACAGAGCCGCCCCAGAGCCGCGGGGGGGGGGCGGAGA